Molecule: non-coding RNA, 275 nt
Filed under: Streptomyces albus subsp. albus
Lineage: Bacteria; Bacillati; Actinomycetota; Actinomycetes; Kitasatosporales; Streptomycetaceae
Description: partial 23S ribosomal RNA
Rfam family: Bacterial large subunit ribosomal RNA
Source: RNAcentral
CCCAGGGUAAGUCGGGACCUAAGGCGAGGCCGACAGGCGUAGUCGAUGGACAACCGGUUGAUAUUCCGGUACCCGCUUUGAAGCGCCAAACAUCGAAUCAGGCGAUGCUAAGUCCGUGAAACCGCCGGGUGCGUCUUCGGACAAUCUCGGAGUGGUGGAGCCGACGAACCAGACUUGUAGUAGGUGAGUGAUGGGGUGACGCAGGAAGGUAGUCCAGCCCGGGCGGUGGUUGUCCCGGGGUAAGGGUGUAGGCCGUGUGAUAGGCAAAUCCGUCA